UACAGAGGUGGCAAGCGUUGUUCGGAAUUACUGGGCGUAAAGGGCGCGUAGGCGGUCUUCUAAGUCCUGUGUGAAAUCCCUCGGCUCAACUGAGGAACUGCACGGGAUACUGGAAGACUUGAGUUCGGGAGAGGGAAGCGGAAUUCCGGGUGUAGCGGUGAAAUGCGUAGAUAUCCGGAGGAACACCGGUGGCGAAGGCGGCUUCCUGGACCAACACUGACGCUGAGUGAGCGAAAGCCAGGGGAGCAAACGGG
This 254-nucleotide ribosomal RNA is filed under the name uncultured bacterium. Its description in RNAcentral is "partial 16S ribosomal RNA". It matches the Rfam family "Bacterial small subunit ribosomal RNA", at positions 524 to 776 of the family's 1533-position model. The record is from RNAcentral.